GGCGAACGGGUGAGUAAUAUAUCGGAACGUGCCCAGUCGUGGGGGAUAACGUAGCGAAAGCUACGCUAAUACCGCAUACGAUCUACGGAUGAAAGCGGGGGAUCGCAAGACCUCGCGCGAUUGGAGCGGCCGAUAUCAGAUUAGCUAGUUGGUGGGGUAAAGGCCCACCAAGGCGACGAUCUGUAGCUGGUCUGAGAGGACGACCAGCCACACUGGAACUGAGACACGGUCCAGACUCCUACGGGAGGCAGCAGUGGGGAAUUUUGGACAAUGGGCGCAAGCCUGAUCCAGCAAUGCCGCGUGCAGGAUGAAGGCCUUCGGGUUGUAAACUGCUUUUGUACGGAACGAAACGGUCCUUUCUAAUACAAGGGGCUAAUGACGGUACCGUAAGAAUAAGCACCGGCUAACUACGUGCCAGCCGCCGCGG
Molecule: ribosomal RNA, 427 nt
Filed under: uncultured bacterium
Lineage: Bacteria
Description: bacterial SSU rRNA
Rfam family: Bacterial small subunit ribosomal RNA
Source: RNAcentral